GCAGACCACAAUGCACCGCUCACGGCGUCGGUUGCCCGGGCAAUGGGCCGCACGCUACGAGGCCCACACACCCAGAAGGUGGAGCCCCGGCCGGGUUACGAGGACCACCCAGCUGUCUGGAGAGAUGAAGAAAAUGAGGUUCAAAGAGAUGAAGUCUCUUGCCUAAAGUCAGUGACAGAAAGUGACAGAGCUGGGAUGUGAAUCCUGGUCUGACUCUACAGUCCCACAUGGUAGAUGGAACCUCCGAGCAACACCUAAACAAAAGGAGUUGAUGCCUCCGAACAGAGUAAUGUCGCUGGAGACACUAAGCAUCGUCGGCCCCUGGCAGGAGCUCCCUAAAUAUGUGUUGGAUGGAUGGAAGAAAGGAUGGAUAGUUCAGAGUACUUCAGCCUUGAUUCCUCCGCAACAGACACCUGAAACUUGACCCUACAUUGGUUCUUGGCCAUCGUGAUCUUCCUUGGACAGAAUCACCUUUCAGCUCCGGUCAUCAGACUUUCCCAGGGCCCUCAGAAAGCCCUUCAGAGUUGUUACUCACAGGCAGGCUGAGGGAUUCCUUACGGGGUCUGCAGCUCUCCUCACCUCAUCCACAAGUAGGACCGUGGCCUGUUCCUCACUACUGCCCCAGGAUCACUCUGUUCCCAGCCCAGUCCAGCAAUCACUUGUCUAGCUUUCUGGAACCUUGAGUACUUUCUUGAACCAUGAGUCCUGUGACCACCCUAGCAGCUCUAACCCUCCCUUAUCUGAAAGGAAGUGUGAGGUGACCUUGCAGGUCCCAGAGUUGAUUGAAGACCCCAUCCAGAAAGAAGGCACCCUGUGGGAGAGAUUGCAAGGCCUAGGUCUGAAUCCGGAAGCUUCCACCCCAUGGAGAAGGGCUGGCACCAGCCUGGGGCUGGCAGUGGAGCUGAGCUUUGGAGCCAAGGACUGUACUGCAGUGCAGGGAGAGUGAGGCCAGAAAGGCUGAGACAACUCAGGGAAAGAAAACCUCCCUUCUGGCUAAUAGUCAAGCACCGCCUGAGUAGACCAACACUCUCCUGUCCACAGGGGCAGCAGAUGAAGACACAACCAGAGAGGACUAACAGGCCCCCUCAGCUCUCAGUCAGAGGGCAGAGCAACACAGAAUAGACAUUAAAGGAACAGACUUUGAGGCCAGGCAGCCUUGGGUGUGCAUCUGUCCCUACUAAGCCAUGUGACAUUAAACAAGUGAGUCCACCUCUCUGAGCCUCAGGUUCCUCAUCUGUAAAAUGGGGAUUAUAAGAGUUCUUGUUUCUCAGGGACAAUGUGAGGAUUAAGUGAGAUGAUACACAUAGAGAAUGUGGUGCAGUACUGGGCACAUGGCAAAGAUCAGUGAUGCUAGCUACCACUUAUCAUUAGUGUUCCUGUAGACCAGGACUUCUCAACCUUGGCACUAUUCACCUUUUGGGCCAGAAAGUUUUUUUUGUUGUUGUUGUGGGGAGCUGUCCUAUGCAUUUGAGGAUGUUUAACAGCACCCCUGGCCUCUACCCACUAGAUGCCAAUCACACCACACCCCCAGUUUCAACAACCAAAAAUGUCUGCAGAUGGUGCCGAAUGUCUUCUGGAGGGUGAAAUCACUCCCCAGCAGUUGAAAAGCACCACCCUAAACAAUCUGGACUGAAUUUGAAUGUCACAGAUCCCAAGCUCACAGCUCCAUGUAAAGGCCACAAGGCAGGCAGGCCUACUUGCAGAUGAAGGAACGGAAAGAGCAACAAUUACAGAUCAAGCGGCUAGCUCCGGUGUAGACUAAGAGGCGGGAUCUGUAGUCUGCUCUAGGAGCUAACAAGGCCUCUGUGACUCAGUAGGUGACCUCAGUGUCACUCUUUAAUUAUAUGCAAAGUGGUCUUGUGUUAACUCUUAAUUAUUCUAGGGCUCCAAACAAGAAAAUAGGUAGUUGGUAUCUGAUUUCUGGCAUCAAGAUCCUGAUUCAUUGACUGGGAGAAAAUCUGACUCUCCAAAACUCUUUCAGAGUUCAUUUAGCCCUUCAUUUAUGACUCUGGGGAGAUUUCUGAGCGAGAGCUAGGUGUCAGGCCCUGUUCCAGGUGCUGGAGAUGCACAAGAGAACAAAAUAGGCAAAGUUUCCUUUUUAUGGAACUUAUAGCAGGAGAAUAAAGAUAAAAACAAGCAAAAAUAUUUAUCUCUGAUAAGGGCAAUGGAUAAAAAUAAAGUAGAAUAGGCCAGGCACGGUGGCUUACGCCUGUAAUCCUAGCACUUUGGGAGGCCAAGGCGGGCAGAUUGCCUGAGCUCAGGAGUUCGGGACCAGCCUGGGCAACACGGUGAAACCCCGUCUCUACUAAAAUACAAAAAAUUAGCUGGGCGUGGCAGCGUGCACCUGUAGUCCCAGCUACUUGGGAGGCUGAGGCAGGAGAAUUGCUUGAACCUGGGAGGCAGAGGUUGCAGUGAGCUGAGAUCGCGCCACUGCACUCCAGUCUGGGUGACAGAGAGAGACUCCACCUCAAAAAAAUUUAAAAAAGUAGACUAAGAGAACCAAGCAUCGCUGGGUGAGGGGUCUUGUUUUAAAGAGUUUUCUAGGAAGACCUCUCUGAGAAGGCACCAUUUGAGCCAAGACUUGAUGACCUGGCUACUGCAUGAGGAUGGAAGGUGGGGAAGCUGAUGGGAGCAGCGAGAGAGGUGGGAGCAGUUAGAGGCUAUUGCAGCAGUCCAGGUAAGAAGGAAUGGUGGCUUGGACAAGGAGGUGGUAGCAGAGAUAGGGCAGAGAUGGCCAGAUUCCAGAUGUAUUCUGAAGGUAGAGCUGACAGAUUUGCUGAGCAAUUGGAUGCAGAAUAGGAGGGAACCAGAGGCAGUCAAGGAUGACUCCAGACUUGUGAGCUGAACAAUGAGAAGAAUAGAUUGAGAUGGGGAAGUCUGGCAGAGGAAACAAGAAGUUCUGCUUUGGCCAUGUUAAGUUUGAGAUGCCUAUUAGAUAUUCCAAGUGGAGAUGUCAAAUAUGCAGUUGGAUAUAUGAGUUCUGGGAAGAGGGCCAGCCUUGAGCUAUAAUUUGGAGAGUCAUCAGCUUAUAGGUGACAUUUAAAGCAAUGGGACUGGAUGAGAUCACCACUGAGGGCGGAGUACGUGUAGAUGGAAGUAAUGCUUAUUCAGCUAGCAAUAUUCUCUGAGCGUUUACUAUGGGCCAGGCCCGGAGCUAGGUGCUAGGUACAGAGAUGGACUUCCUUUGGCACCUGCCCCAGAGAAGCUCUAUUACUUACUUAAUUUUCCUGCCUAAGUGCUUUGGCCAUGUAGAGGAUGAGCCUUGAGUUCCUACCCUGUCUUUUAGUCACUUAGUCCUUUUUUUCUCUUUUUUCUUUUUUUGAGACAGAGUUUCGUUCUUGUUGCCCAGGCUGGAGUGCAAUGGCAUGAUCUUGGCUCACCACAACCUCCGCCUCCUGGGUUCAAGCAAUCCUCCUGUCUCAGCCUCCUCAGUAGGUGGGAUUACCGGCAUGCACCACCACAUCGGGCUAAUUUUUUGUAUUUUUAGUUGACAUGGGGUUUCUCCAUGUUGGUCAGGCUGGCCUUGAACUCCCGACCUCAGGUGAUCCACCCGCCUCGGCCUCCCAAAGUGCUGGGAUUACCUGCGUGAACCACCGCACCCUGCAUCAUUUUUUCAGCAGACAUUUGUUGAGCACCUGCUUGAUACAAGGCACCCAUCUAGGCACAAGGGACAUGAAAGGAAGCGAGUCAGACACAGUUCCUAUCCUUUUGGAGUUUAGAUUUUAUGUGUGGAGACAGACAUUGAACAGGAUGCACACAGGAUCACAGGAUGUGACAAAUGCAGUGGAGGAGAAAGAUAGGCUGGUGUGAGAGCUGUUAAUGGGGGCUCUGCUCUAGCCGGAGAGGCAAGGAAGGCUUUUCCAGGAGUCACAUUAGAGGAACAAUCUAUACAAGCAGGGAACUAGGCUGGGGGAAGUGCAGGGAGCUUUUUAGGUGGAAAGAACAGCAUGUUCAAAGGCCUGAAGCUGGAAGGAGGCUGGCUGACUUGGCUCCAGAGAAGCUGUUGGGGGAGUGUGGGAGAGACAAGACAGGGAGUAGGGGUGGGGAGAAGCCAGACCUUUGGAGUCUUGUAAGUCUGGUUAAGACACGUGGACUGUCUUCUGCGGCCACCAGUGGCUCUGUUGAGGUGGGAAAUUAAAGAAAAGCAAAAUUAAAAAGAAAGAGAAAUAAGUUUUUCUGUAUGAGGGUGACUUGUCCCAGAGGCAGCAAUAGGCACAGGCCAGACCCAGGAAAAUUCUUCAUAAUAUUAUCUAAUGUGCUCUGGAGAUUCUCCCAGUACUCCCUCAACAUAGGGAGAAGAAAAACAAAUUUUCCUUUGUUUUAUGGAAUGAGUUUAUAGAUUCCUAUUCUCUGUAACCAGUGACUUCAAGUAUUGUUUUAUCUAAGCAGUGGAGUGAAGGUCAUGAGCCUCUGAGCUGGCCUGAGUUACGGCCACCUGGGCGCCAUAGUGAAGGUUAUGGGAUAAGUCUGUGCCUGGGCAAACCUAGAUAACGGACAUCUGGGUUGCUUGGCAACGGUCACGUGCAAUCCUGAGUUUGUCCUGCCUCUAUAUCCCUGCUUUCAUGCCACUGUAAGCUUGCUUCAAGCUAGCCCACCCCCUUUUGUGAAGUGUGUAUAGAAGUCAAGUGCUGUCUUUCUUCCGGGCCCAGUCUUUUGGACGUUGAGUCAGCUGGGCCUGAGUGCACUCAAUAAAUGAUUCUCCUGUUUUAGAUUGAGACCAUCCUGACUAACACGGUGAAACCCCGUCUCUACUAAAAAUACAAAAACAAAAUUAGCCGGGUGUGGUGGUGGGCGCCUGUAGUCCCAGCUACUCGGGAGGCUGAGGCAGGAGAAUGGUGUGAACCCAGUAAAUACUGCACAUGUGUAAUGAGCCGAGAUCGCGCCACUGCACUCCAGCCUGGGCAACAGAGCAAGAGUCCGUCUCAAAAAAAAAAAAAAAAAAAAAAAAAAAAAAAAAAAAAAGGCCGGGCACGGUGGCUUACGCCUGUAAUCCCAGCACUUUCAGAGGCUGAGGCGGGUGGAUCACGAGGUCAGAGAUCGAGACCAUCCUGGCUAACACAGUGAAACCCUGUCUCUACUAAAAAUACAAAAAAUUAGCCGGGUGUGGUGGCGGGCGCCUGUAGUCCCAGCUACUAGGGAGGCUGAAGCAGGACAAUGGUGUGAACCUGGGAGGCAGAGCUUGCAGUGAGCCGAGAUGGCGCCAUUGCACUCCAGCCUGGGCGACAGAGCGAGACUGCAUCUCAAAAAAAAAAAAAAAAAAGAUUCUCCUGUUUUAACCCGAGGUCUCUCUCUCAUCCUCCUGAAUCCCACAACACUGAAAGGUAGUGGGUAGGGAUUCAUAUGAUCAGAGGGCCACUGAAGUGGGCAGGUUAGUAGGGCAGCCAGGACACCAGUGAGGAGGUUAUUGAUUGUUGCCUCUUUGCUUCAGGCUCUUGGUUUCUCCAUUUUAAACAUCUGUUUGCACUCCAGGUGCAUGAGCCACUGAACCUGGCCAAUGUAUCAUUUUUGUUACCUGCUUUUCGUAAUCCCAGCACUUUGGGAGGCCGAGGCAGGUGGAUCACGAGGUCGGGAGUUCAAGACCAGCCUGGCCAAGAUGUUAAAACCCUGUCUCUACUAAAAAUACAAAAAUUGGCUGGGUGUGGUGGUGGGCGCCUGUAAUCUCAGCUACUUGGGAGGGUGAGGCAGAGAAUUGCUUGAACCUAGGAGGUGGAGGUUGCAGUGAGCCGAGAUCGUGCCACUGCACUCCAGCCUGGGCGACAGAGCAAGACUCCAUCUCAAAAAAAAAAAAAAAAAAAAAAAGCCUUCUACAACAUAACUAUUUACUUAUGUAUUUUUAAAGAUGGGGUCCCACUCUCACCCAGGCUGGAGUACAGUGGUGCAAUCCUAGCUCACUGCAGCCUCAAACUCCUGGGCUCAAGCAGGCAUCCUGCCUUCACCUCCCAAAGUGCUGGGAUUACAAGCAUGAGCUACUGCACCCAGCCCAAUUUUAAUAGCUUCUUUAUAGCCCAUGCGGCCAGGGGCGGUGGCUCACGCCUGUAAUCCCAGCACUUUGGGAGGCCCAGGUGGUUGGAUCACUUGCGGUCAGAAGUUCGAGACCAGCCUGGCCAAUAUGGUGAAACCCCAUCUCUACUAAAAAUAUAAAAAAUUAGCCAGGUGUAGUGUUGCGUGCCUGUAGGCUACUUAGGAGGCUGAGGCAGGAGAAUCGCUUGAACCCAGGAAGCAAAGCGGAGGUUGCAGUGAUCCGAGAUUGCGCUAUUGCACUCCAGCCUGGGUGUCACAGUGAGACUCCGUCUCAAAAAAAAAAAAAAAAGUCCAUGCAUAACUUCUUGAAACAAUCACUUAUCAGUGGACACUUAAGUUGCUUCCAGUUUUUCAGUAUUGUAACAGUGCUUUGUUCUGAUGAAUAUCUUUCAAAGAUAAAAAUAAUCUUUUUAAUUCUACUUUCAGAAGUAAUAGGUACUCAUUGUAUAAAAGUGAAACACUGUAGAAAUUUAGAAUCUGAAAAAGAAAGUUCCUUUGUAAGAUCUGUAAUCUUACAACUCAAAGAUAAUGUUAAAAUUUGAUUUUUUCCCGGCAUAUAACAGGCUUUUUUCCUUUUUACCAAAAUGGGAUGAUUCUGAGUUCCCUGUCACGAUAUAUAAAUCUACUUUAUUCCUUUCAUAAACUUCCAUGCAUUUCCACCACCUGUCCCCACCCACCCACCCACAUCUGUAUACACACAUUCUGCCUCCCUUGCCGUUACCCUGUAUGAACUGUUCAUGCUCCUAUCUAAGGCCAUCUCCCUGGCACUGGGUCCAUCUCCUCUCAUUCCUGUGAUUGUCUCUUCUCCCUCUCCUGCAUCAUCAGUUUCCCCUGUCUACUGGAUUAUUCCCACCAGCGUGCAAACAUGCUGUCAUAUUCUUUUAAAAAUGCUUCCCUUGCCUACACAUUCUCCUGUAGCUACCAUCCCAUCUCGGCUUUCCUCCAAGAGUUGUCUGUACUCCCUGUCCCCGAUUCCUCACCUCCCAUUCUCUCUUUAAUCCACUGCACCCACACAGCUCAAAUGUGGUGGUCACCGGUGACCACCAUGCUGCUAAACACAGUGGCCAAUUCUCAGUGCCCUUCAUGGCCAUACAUGUCACAGUUGCUCUCUUCCUCUGGGUCCUCCCUUGGCUUCCAGGACCACACACUCUCUUAGCUGUCCUCCCAUCUCACUGGCUGCUCCACCUCAGGCUCCUCUGUUUGUUUCCCCUUUUCUCCAUGACAUCUGAAGGAAGAAGUGAACCAGGCCUUCUCUAUUGGGCUACUUCUCUAUUUAAACUCUCUCUUGGGAGUCUCCAUUUUCAUGGCUUUAAAUUUCAUGGCUCACAACUCUCAAAUUUGUAUUUUCACCCCAAACUUUGCCCCUGAAUGCCCAUCCCAUAUCUCUAAGUCCUAUUUGAAAUAGCUCUAGGAUGUCUAACAGGCAUCUGUCUCAAACCUAACACAUCCACAACAGACCUAUUCUACUCCCAAACCUGCCUGCUUAUCCUGCAGGCUUCCUUAUCACUGUAAAUAGCCACUGCAUUCUUCCAGGUGCUCAGGAGAGAGAUCUAGAAGUUUUCCUUGACUUGUGUAUAUUCCUCACACCUCACAUCUAAUUUAAGCACAUUAAUGAGCUUAAAUUCUUUAAGCUCAAUCUUGAAAAUAUAUCUCACCACCUUCGCUCUUCUUCUGACCUUUUUUUUUUUUUUUGAUACAGAGCUUCUCUCUGUCAUCCAGGCUAGAGUACAGUAGCACAAUCUCAGCUCACUGCAGCCUCCACCUCCCAAGUUCAAGCAAUUCUCCUGCCUCAGCCUCCCUUGUAGCUGGGGUUACAGGUGUGCACCACCACACCCAGAUAAUUUUUGUAUUUUUAGUAGAGACGGGGUUUCACCACAUUGGUCAGGCUGGUCUCAAACUCCUGACCUUGUGAUCCACCCGCCUCAGACUCCCAAAGUGCUGGGAUUACAGGUGUAAGCCACCGUGCCUGGCCUUUUUUUUUCUUUAAGAGAUGAGGUCUUGCUCUGUUUUCCAGGCUGGAUCCUGGGCUUGAGGGAUCCUCCUGCGUCAGCCUCUCGAGUAGCUGGGACCACAGGCACGAGCCACCGAUGCCUGGCUAAAUUUUUACUUUUUUGUAGAGAUGGAGGUCUCGCCAUCUUGCCCAGGCUGGUCUCGAACUCAUGGACUCAAGCAAUCCUCCUGCCUCAGCCUCCCAAAGCCCAUGUCUGGCCUGGGCUGUCUAUUCUGUCUCACUGCUCUAUGUGUUUAUCUUUUUGCUGAUACCACCCUACUUUGAAUACUGUAACUUUAUAGUGAGUCUUGAAGUUGGGUAAUGUGAGUAUGUGAGUCCUCUGACUAUUUUUUUUUUCAGAAUUGUUUUGGCUAAUCUAGUACCUUUGCCUUUCUCUGUAAAAAAAUUGUUUUGGCUAGGCCGGGCAUGGUGGCUCACGCCUGUAAUCCCAGCACUUUGGGAGGCCGAGGCAGGCGGAUCACAAGGUCAGGAGAUUGAAACCAUCUUGGCUAACACUGUGAAACCCCAUCUCCACUAAAAAUACAAAAAAUUAGCCGGGCACGGUGGCAGGCGCCUGUAGUCCCAGCUACCUGAGAGGCUGAGGCAGGAGAAUGGCGUGAACCCGGGAGGUGGAGCUUGCAGCGAGCCGAGAUGGCGCCACUGCACUACAGCCUGGGCGAUAGAGCGCGACUCCAUCUCAAAAAAAAAAAAAAUUGUUUUGGCAAAUCUAGUACCUUUGCCUUUCUAUGUUGCCCGGGCUGGAGUGCAUUGGCUACUCACAGGCAUGAUCAUGGUGUAUUAUAGCCUCAAACUCCUGGCCUCCAGCGAUCUUCCUGUCUCAGCUCCCAAGUAGCUCCCAAGUGUGCAACUGAGACUACAGGUGCAAAACACAGUGCCCUGGCUUCUCUGUAAAUUUUAGAAUCAGUUUGUAGACAGUGUCUGGGAGGAAAAACUUUUUAUCUACCCUCAGGUUUAGUCUUUGGGGACCUGUGAAUUAAACAGACGAAAGAUAUAUUAACAAGAGAAGGCCAAGCGUGGUGGCUUACACCCAUAAUCCCAACACUCUGGGAGGCUGAGGCGGGAGGAUCACUUGAGUCCAGGAGGUCGAGGCUGCCGUGGGCUAGCAUCAUGCCACUGCACUGCCCCAUGGGCAACAGAGCGAGACCCCUGUCUCUAAAACAAACAAAAAGAAGACAAAAUUUAAUCAUUUAUUUUAUUAACAUACAUAUGGGAGUUCACCAGAAAGACUAUCCACAUUACUAGAGAUGGAAACUUUCAGCUCCUUCCCCCAACCUCCAGGGAGGGGAGUGGGGCUAGAGACUGGGCUCCAAACACUCUUGAACAGGAGGUUCCGAAAGUCUGGAAUGAUGAACGCAUUGAUGUGCUGGGAGGGUGGUGCACCUGGAGAGGACAUGGAAGCUCUGUUCCCACCUCCUCCUGCUGUGCCCCGCCCCAUGCCUUGCCCUAUGCAUCGCUUCCAUUUGGUUGAUCCUAGUUGUAUCCUUUAUAAUAAACUGGAAAAUGUAAAUAAGGUGCUGUCCUGAGUUCUGUGAGUCACUCUAGUAAAUUAUUGAACCUGAAGGGGGUGAGUGGGAACCUCUGAAUUUGUAGUAGGCCCAACAAAAAUGUGGGUAGCUGGGGCACCUCAUUUGUGCAGGCAUCUAAAGUGGGGGCGGUCUUGUGGGACUCAGUCCUUAACUUUUGUUCAGGGUCUGUGCUAACUCUGGGUAGUUAGUGUCAGAACUGAAUAGAAUUUUCAGAGGUCCAGUUGAUCUCAGAUAAUUGAACAAUUGAUGUGGAAAAAUGACACGUAUCUGGUGCCAGAGAUAAAGACCGCACCACACAUUUGGUGUCAGAAAUAGUGUCAAAGAUAAGACAUCACAGGAAGUCACUGGUAUUAGCACAGUGUUAUACAUACAGA
Molecule: long non-coding RNA, 9932 nt
Filed under: Homo sapiens (human)
Lineage: Eukaryota; Metazoa; Chordata; Mammalia; Primates; Hominidae
Description: non-protein coding NRAV:9
Source: RNAcentral